AGAGUUUGAUCAUGGCUCAGAUUGAACGCUGGCGGCAUGCUUUACACAUGCAAGUCGAGCGGGGUGUGGGGGCAACCUCAUAUUCAGCGGCGGACGGGUGAGUAAUGCAUCGGAACGUAUCCUGUAGUGGGGGACAACCCAGCGAAAGCUGGGCUAAUACCGCAUAGGCUCGGGAGAGGAAAGCGGGGGCUCGCAAGACCUCGCGCUAUAGGAGCGGCCGAUGUCCGAUUAGCUAGUUGGUGGGGUAAAGGCCUACCAAGGCGACGAUCGGUAGCUGGUCUGAGAGGAUGAUCAGCCACACUGGGACUGAGACACGGCCCAGACUCCUACGGGAGGCAGCAGUGGGGAAUUUUGGACAAUGGGGGCAACCCUGAUCCAGCCAUGCCGCGUGCGGGAAGAAGGCCUUCGGGUUGUAAACCGCUUUUGGUCGGGAAGAAAAGGUCUACCCUAAUACGGUGGACUGUUGACGGUACCGGCAGAAUAAGCACCGGCUAACUACGUGCCAGCAGCCGCGGUAAUACGUAGGGUGCGAGCGUUAAUCGGAAUUACUGGGCGUAAAGCGUGCGCAGGCGGUUGGUUAAGUCUGAUGUGAAAGCCCCGGGCUCAACCUGGGAAUGGCAUUGGAAACUGGCUGGCUAGAGUGUGGCAGAGGGGGGUGGAAUUCCGCGUAGCAGUGAAAUGCGUAGAGAUGCGGAGGAACACCGAUGGCGAAGGCAGCCCCCUGGGCUAGCACUGACGCUCAGGCACGAAAGCGUGGGGAGCAAACAGGAUUAGAUACCCUAGUAGUCC
This 789-nucleotide ribosomal RNA is filed under the name uncultured bacterium. RNAcentral's name for it is "bacterial SSU rRNA". It matches the Rfam family "Bacterial small subunit ribosomal RNA", at positions 8 to 796 of the family's 1533-position model. The record is from RNAcentral.